ACCAGACUCCUACGGGAGGCAGCAGUGGGGAAUAUUGCACAAUGGGGGGAACCCUGAUGCAGCGACGCCGCGUGGGUGAAGAAGCGCCUCGGCGCGUAAAGCCCUGUCAGCAGGGAAGAAAAUGACGGUACCUGAAGAAGAAGCCCCGGCUAACUACGUGCCAGCAGCCGCGGUAAUACGUAGGGGGCAAGCGUUAUCCGGAUUUACUGGGUGUAAAGGGGGCGCAGACGGCGAUGCAAGCCAGGAGUGAAAGCCCGGGGCCCAACCCCGGGACUGCUCUUGGAACUGCGUGGCUGGAGUGCAGGAGGGGCAGGCGGAAUUCCUGGUGUAGCGGUGAAAUGCGUAGAUAUCAGGAGGAACACCGGUGGCGAAGGCGGCCUGCUGGACUGCAACUGACGUUGAGGCCCGAAAGCGUGGGGAGCAAACAGGAUUAGAUACCCGGGUAUC
RNAcentral lists this ribosomal RNA (447 nucleotides) under uncultured bacterium. RNAcentral describes it as "bacterial SSU rRNA". It matches the Rfam family "Bacterial small subunit ribosomal RNA", at positions 330 to 794 of the family's 1533-position model. The record is from RNAcentral.